ACUGCCUGAUGGAGGGGGGUAACUACUGGAAACGGUAGCUAAUACCGCAUAACGUCGCAAGACCAAAGAGGGGGACCUUCGGGCCUCUUGCCAUCGGAUGUGCCCAGAUGGGAUUAGCUAGUAGGUAGGGUAACGGCUCACCUAGGCGACGAUCCCUAGCUGGUCUGAGAGGAUGACCAGCCACACUGGAACUGAGACACGGUCCAG
This 207-nucleotide ribosomal RNA is filed under the name uncultured bacterium. Its description in RNAcentral is "partial 16S ribosomal RNA". It matches the Rfam family "Bacterial small subunit ribosomal RNA", at positions 125 to 334 of the family's 1533-position model. The record is from RNAcentral.